This 253-nucleotide ribosomal RNA is filed under the name uncultured bacterium. RNAcentral's name for it is "partial 16S ribosomal RNA". It matches the Rfam family "Bacterial small subunit ribosomal RNA", at positions 524 to 776 of the family's 1533-position model. The record is from RNAcentral.
GACAGAGGGUGCAAACGUUGUUCGGAAUUACUGGGCGUAAAGCGUGUGUAGGCGGUCUCAUAAGUCGGGUGUGAAAGCCCCGGGCUCAACCCGGGAAGUGCACUCGAAACUGCGAGGCUAGAGUACUGGAGAGGUUGGUGGAAUUCUCGGUGUAGAGGUGAAAUUCGUAGAUAUCGAGAGGAACACCGGUGGCGAAGGCGGCCAACUGGACAGAUACUGACGCUGAGGUGCGAAAGCGUGGGGAGCAAACAGG